GAGCUUCAUACUUGUUCUAGAAGUAGGAAGGAAAGAGCGAUGAAGAACAUCAACGCUGGUUGAGUAAGUGGUGCUUGCACUGGCGGAUCCCAUUCUGCUCAAUGAUUUCUGACGGAUCUGGGAUCCCAGCUCUGUUCCCUUUGUGUUCUGCUCUCCGAUUUCAUCAAGGGACCUUUAUGGAAGCUUCUUGGUAAGUCACCCUACUCAACUCAAAAGGAGGAACAGUUCUCAGAGCUUCUAAGAAUCAUCUCCUGGAUUACAAUCUUCACUUUGGCUUGAAUAAAAUUCCCUUUUGCUUCUUAACUUGAUCCGUUAAAUUUCCAUCAUUUGCUUGGCAUGGUGGGCAGGAUAUCAGAGACACGCACCAGUGAACACCUGGAGUCUGCUCUGAACCUGUACUUGGUACCAGCUGGGCCCUUUGAGCCCCACCAGCUUCUUGGUAUUCCUCCUUCCUUCGGAAUGACCAACAAGAAGCUCCUAUUGACAAAGCUGAUCUAAUUUGAUUUACUGAUGGUUCCUACUUAAAGGAUGAGCAGAGGCAUUAUAGAGCUGGGUAUGAAAUAACAUCCACAGUGAACAUAAAUGAGAGUUCUUAUUUACCAGAAACAAAGUCCACACAACAAGCCAAAUCAAUUGCCUUAACCUGAGCUUUUUAACUGGCUAAAGACCAGCUAGUGAAUAUUUAUACUGACAGCUGCAAUGUCUCACACAAAAAGAAAUAUUCUGCUCUAAUGAAAAUUUAUAAAUGGGAGGGAGAGGAAUGGUGCAAAUCAACAUGUAUCAUUCUGAUGAACAAUUGUAAAUGUGAAAAAAGCAGUGCAGAUCAAAAUGGAAAUAUACUGUUAUGAUGAGAAACUGUACUGGGAGGAAAACAAACUUUCAAAAAAAGAACCAAAAAAAAUCAUUCCAAUGAAAUAUUGUAAAUGAUGGGAAUGUGGUGCAAAUCAGAAUAUAUACCUCCGAU
Molecule: long non-coding RNA, 964 nt
Filed under: Sus scrofa (pig)
Lineage: Eukaryota; Metazoa; Chordata; Mammalia; Artiodactyla; Suidae
Description: lncRNA (ENSSSCG00000044736.1, ENSSSCG00030026469.1)
Source: RNAcentral